Symphalangus syndactylus (siamang) is the source of this 233-nucleotide long non-coding RNA. RefSeq lists it as uncharacterized. The record is from RefSeq and is a predicted model, not a curated record. Lineage: Eukaryota; Metazoa; Chordata; Mammalia; Primates; Hylobatidae.
UUCCAACAGGAACAAAGUUCCAUCAUUGGCCCAAUACUCUCCUCUCUCUGCAAGCUCCCUUGGGCAAUCUGAAACAAAUUUUUGCCUUCAAACAUUAUCUUCAGCCCUAAUCUGUAAUUUGACUCAGAUGAAGAAAUGAAAAGACUCUCGGAGGCCAAGUAACUUGUCUAAGGAAUUGUAACCCAUCUUAUCCCAGAGUUUCCACUUCUGAAAGACAGAAACCAUGAGAAAUG